UACAGAGGUCUCAAGCGUUGUUCGGAUUCAUUGGGCGUAAAGGGUGCGUAGGCGGCGCGGUAAGUCGGGUGUGAAAUCUUGGAGCUUAACUCCGAAACUGCAUUCGAUACUGCCGUGCUUGAGGACUGGAGAGGAGACUGGAAUUUACGGUGUAGCGGUGAAAUGCGUAGAUAUCGUAAGGAAGACCAGUGGCGAAGGCGGGUCUCUGGGCAUCUCCUGACGCUGAGGCGCGAAAGCGUGGGGAGCAAACAGG
RNAcentral lists this ribosomal RNA (253 nucleotides) under uncultured bacterium. RNAcentral describes it as "partial 16S ribosomal RNA". It matches the Rfam family "Bacterial small subunit ribosomal RNA", at positions 524 to 776 of the family's 1533-position model. The record is from RNAcentral.